Molecule: ribosomal RNA, 192 nt
Filed under: Xanthoporus syringae
Lineage: Eukaryota; Fungi; Basidiomycota; Agaricomycetes; Polyporales; Steccherinaceae
Description: Albatrellus syringae partial 28S ribosomal RNA
Rfam family: Eukaryotic large subunit ribosomal RNA
Source: RNAcentral
CUGACCUCAAAUCAGGCAGGACUACCCGCUGAACUUAAGCAUAUCAAUAAGCGGAGGAAAAGAAACUAACAAGGAUUCCCCUAGUAACUGCGAGUGAAGCGGGAAAAGCUCAAAUUUAAAAUCUGGCAGCUUUGGCUGUCCGAGUUGUAGUCUGGAGAAGCGUUUUCUGUGCUGGACCGUGUACAAGUCUCC